RNAcentral lists this ribosomal RNA (301 nucleotides) under uncultured bacterium. Its description in RNAcentral is "partial 16S ribosomal RNA". It matches the Rfam family "Bacterial small subunit ribosomal RNA", at positions 509 to 809 of the family's 1533-position model. The record is from RNAcentral.
CAGCAGCCGCGGUAAUACGUAGGGUGCAAGCGUUAAUCGGAAUUACUGGGCGUAAAGCGUGCGCAGGCGGUUUUGUAAGACAGAGGUGAAAUCCCCGGGCUCAACCUGGGAACUGCCUUUGUGACUGCAAGGCUAGAGUACGGCAGAGGGGGAUGGAAUUCCGCGUGUAGCAGUGAAAUGCGUAGAUAUGCGGAGGAACACCGAUGGCGAAGGCAAUCCCCUGGGCCUGUACUGACGCUCAUGCACGAAAGCGUGGGGAGCAAACAGGAUUAGAUACCGGUAGUCCCUGUCUCUUAUACAC